GGAUUCUGGAGCCAGGAAGCCAGAGAGUAAGCAGAGAAUGGGUGUUUUGGUUUUAACCCCAUACAUGCUGGGUUUAAUGUAGGGAAACUGAUAUCAGUGUUGGUAUCACUACCACCUCUGAAUUUUGUGGUCUUAAUGAUUUCAGAUGGUUAGUCUCAUCUUUCAAAGUUGAAGGUGGACCUCAUCCAAUCAGUUGAGGCCUUCAUCAAAAAAAAGACUGACUCCCUCAAAGAAGAUGGAAUUCUACCAGCAGUUGGCCUUUGGACUCAAACUGCUACAUUGACUUUUCCCUGGAUCUCCAGCCUGCUGACCUACCCUGAAGAUUUUGGACUUGCCAGUCUCCAUGAUUGCUUGAGCCAAUCAUGGCUUGAUGAGUGGUGUAGGUCUGCGCCCAGGAUCCCAACCUGCAAACCCAGGCCACCGAAAAAGAAUAUGCCGG
This 439-nucleotide long non-coding RNA is filed under the name Equus caballus (horse). RNAcentral describes it as "lncRNA (ENSECAG00000043979.1)". The record is from RNAcentral. Lineage: Eukaryota; Metazoa; Chordata; Mammalia; Perissodactyla; Equidae.